Molecule: RNase P RNA, 448 nt
Filed under: Phenylobacterium zucineum
Lineage: Bacteria; Pseudomonadati; Pseudomonadota; Alphaproteobacteria; Caulobacterales; Caulobacteraceae
Description: RNase P RNA component class A
Rfam family: Bacterial RNase P class A
About the family: Ribonuclease P (RNase P) is a ubiquitous endoribonuclease, found in archaea, bacteria and eukarya as well as chloroplasts and mitochondria. Its best characterised activity is the generation of mature 5'-ends of tRNAs by cleaving the 5'-leader elements of precursor-tRNAs.
Source: RNAcentral
UCAGAUGGCCGGGCGGUCGCGGGCGCAAGCUCGAGGAAAGUCCGGGCUCCACGACGACAUGGCGGCGGGUAACGCCCGCCGGGGGUGACCCUAGGGAUAGCGCCACAGAGAGCAGACCGCCCUACUCCGCCAAGGCUACGCAGGGCUUCGCCCUCCGAAGCCGAAAGCGAAGGAGGGUAAGGGUGAAAGGGUGCGGUAAGAGCGCACCGGGCCGCUGGCAACAGGGGUCGCAUGGCAAGCCCCGCCAGGAGCAAGACCGAAUAGGGAUCCCGCGCCCGCCAGGUCCGCAAGGAAACCGGCGGGUAGGGCCGUCGCCGGCCCGAGGGCUCCGGGUAGGUCGCGAGAACCGGCCCGCGAGGGUCGGUCCAGAGGAAUGACCGCCGCGUCCCCGCUCUUCGCAAGUAGAGAGGGGGCGGCACAGAACCCGGCUUACAGGCCGUCUGAUCCA